RNAcentral lists this ribosomal RNA (253 nucleotides) under uncultured bacterium. Its description in RNAcentral is "partial 16S ribosomal RNA". It matches the Rfam family "Bacterial small subunit ribosomal RNA", at positions 524 to 776 of the family's 1533-position model. The record is from RNAcentral.
UACGGGGGGGGCAAGCGUUGUUCGGAAUUACUGGGCGUAAAGGGCUCGUAGGCGGCCAACUAAGUCAGACGUGAAAUCCCUCGGCUUAACCGGGGAACUGCGUCUGAUACUGGAUGGCUUGAGGUUGGGAGAGGGAUGCGGAAUUCCAGGUGUAGCGGUGAAAUGCGUAGAUAUCUGGAGGAACACCGGUGGCGGAGGCGGCAUCCUGGACCAAUUCUGACGCUGAGGAGCGAAAGCCAGGGGAGCAAACGGG